CACUACUAGAAUAGUUUCUUUCUGGUUGCCAGAAAUAUCUUCUCCUUGAUCUACAUGCUCUGGAUUUUGGCUAAGAAUUUUAAUUUGGUGAUUUCUUUCAGGGGAGCCAGCAUACUGUUGGAUGGAAAGGACUCAGGUCAUCAAGCCUACCACUUUUAUUUUAUUUAAUAGAAUUUUAUCUCAGCCCCUCCCUUCCCUCCACACACCAUAGAAAGCAUCACCUGACAAAAAAGAUAUAUAUGUUUCUGCAUCAGUUUUCCUGACUUCCUCUGAGACAUGAGUCAAAUCCUACUUUUUAUGGGAAUUCUUUCCCAGCUCCCUCCUCAUUUCCCAAGUUCCUUUAAAAGAGGACAUGGACGAGGACAAUAUGAGACCAGAAGGCAUGAAUGGACCACAAUGCGCACCUAGGAGAGUAUCCAUUUUGAUGGGAAUAAGGAUCUAUUAAAAUUACUAAGCAUGUUUGAGG
Molecule: long non-coding RNA, 466 nt
Filed under: Monodelphis domestica (gray short-tailed opossum)
Lineage: Eukaryota; Metazoa; Chordata; Mammalia; Didelphimorphia; Didelphidae
Description: lncRNA (ENSMODG00000033661.2)
Source: RNAcentral